This 464-nucleotide ribosomal RNA is filed under the name uncultured bacterium. RNAcentral describes it as "partial 16S ribosomal RNA". It matches the Rfam family "Bacterial small subunit ribosomal RNA", at positions 28 to 507 of the family's 1533-position model. The record is from RNAcentral.
GACGAACGCUGGCGGCGUGCUUAACACAUGCAAGUCGUACGGUAAGGCCCUUUCGGGGGUACACGAGUGGCGAACGGGUGAGUAACACGUGAGUAACCUGCCCACAACUUUGGGAUAACGCUAGGAAACUGGUGCUAAUACUGGAUAUGUGCUCCUGCUGCAUGGUGGGGGUUGGAAAGCUCCGGCGGUUGUGGAUGGACUCGCGGCCUAUCAGCUUGUUGGUGGGGUAGUGGCCUACCAAGGCGGCGACGGGUAGCCGGCCUGAGAGGGGGACCGGCCAAAUUGGGAUGGGGAUACGGCCCGGACCCCACCGGGAGGCAGCAGUGGGGAAUAUUGAACAAGGGGCGCAAGCCUGAUGCAGCAACGCCGCGUGCGGGAUGACGGCCUUCGGGUUGUAACCGCUUUCAGCAGGGACGAAGCUUUUUGUGACGGUACCUGCAGAAGAAGCACCGGCUAACUACGUG